RNAcentral lists this ribosomal RNA (399 nucleotides) under Triticum aestivum (bread wheat). RNAcentral's name for it is "partial small subunit ribosomal RNA". Lineage: Eukaryota; Viridiplantae; Streptophyta; Magnoliopsida; Poales; Poaceae. The record is from RNAcentral.
AUGAUUGCCACAAAGGAACCGAAUGCAAAACAGUGGAUCUUCACUCUUAUGGCGUCUUUGCCUCAUAACAGUUUUGUUCGAGUGUCUAUGACCCUUUGGUCGAUAUGGACAGCACGACGGAAAUUUAUCCACGAGGGGGUCACACAAAUUCCGCAAGCCAUUCAUCUUUUUGUGAGCAGGUUCAUCGGGGAACUUGAAUUAAUUCAUCCAAAGCCUCAGGAUAAUUUACAGGGAGCCCCCGGCAAACUAGGGUGGCACAUGCAAGGCCUAGGGCUCCAUCGGCGGGAUAUUCAAAGAGUCACGUGGACGGAGCGGUGCACCGGGAUCAAGGGGGAUCCGCUGCUACAGUAUGUCGGGACGAUGCUGGCAACUACUUGGGAAGCUCGGCCCUGGUCAUAG